GGUUAAGCGACUAAGCGUACACGGUGGAUGCCCUGGCAGUCAGAGGCGAUGAAGGACGUGCUAAUCUGCGAUAAGCGCCGGUAAGGUGAUAUGAACCGUUAUAACCGGCGAUUUCCGAAUGGGGAAACCCAGUGUGACUCGUCACACUAUCAUUAACUGAAUCCAUAGGUUAAUGAGGCGAACCGGGGGAACUGAAACAUCUAAGUACCCCGAGGAAAAGAAAUCAACCGAGAUUCCCCCAGUAGCGGCGAGCGAACGGGGAGGAGCCCAGAGCCUGAAUCAGCAUGUGUGUUAGUGGAAGCGUCUGGAAAGGCGCGCGAUACAGGGUGACAGCCCCGUACACAAAAGCGCAUGUG
This 356-nucleotide ribosomal RNA is filed under the name Salmonella enterica. RNAcentral's name for it is "partial 23S ribosomal RNA". It matches the Rfam family "Bacterial large subunit ribosomal RNA", at positions 1 to 393 of the family's 2925-position model. RNAcentral also lists the same sequence under 1 other name. Lineage: Bacteria; Pseudomonadati; Pseudomonadota; Gammaproteobacteria; Enterobacterales; Enterobacteriaceae. The record is from RNAcentral.